GAUGAAGAACGUAGCGAAAUGCGAUACGUAGUGUGAAUUGCAGAAUUCAGUGAAUCAUCGAAUCUUUGAACGCAUAUUGCGCUCUCUGGUAUUCCGGAGAGCAUGCUUGUUUGAGUAUCAGUAAACACCUCAACUUCCAUAUCUUUUUUGAAAUGGGAGUUGGACUUGAGUGAUCCCAACGCUUUUCCUCACCGAAAAGUGGCGGGUUACUUGAAAUGCAGGUGCAGCUGGACUUUUCUCUGAGCUAUAAGCAUAUCUAUUUAGUCUGCCUAAAAACAGAUUAUUACCUUUGCUGCAGCUAACAUAAAGGAGAUUAGUUCUUGUGCUGACUGAUGCAGGAUUCACAAAGACAGGCUUCGGCCGACUUUGUAAACUCGAUCUCAAAUCAAGUAAGACUACCCGCUGAACUUAAGCAUAUCAAUAAGCGGAGGA
Molecule: unclassified non-coding RNA, 432 nt
Filed under: soil metagenome
Description: partial contains 5.8S ribosomal RNA, internal transcribed spacer 2, and large subunit ribosomal RNA
Rfam family: 5.8S ribosomal RNA (bases 1-120)
Source: RNAcentral